Non-coding RNA from Cajanus cajan (pigeon pea), 2198 nucleotides. The record is from RefSeq and is a predicted model, not a curated record. Lineage: Eukaryota; Viridiplantae; Streptophyta; Magnoliopsida; Fabales; Fabaceae.
GUGAUUGGUGAAAUAGAGGUUGGGUUGGGAUUGAAAAAAGAAACGCAAUGGAAGGAAGCAAUAGCAACGACCAAAACAAGGCGAAGAAAGGGUUGGAAGGCAGUGGCAUCGAUUUACCCAUUAACCGUCGUGCCAACUUGAAAAGCGCUACCAGCGACGACGACUUCACCGACAUUCUCGCUCACAUCAAAUCCUCUUCAACCCCCGCUGUUAUCAAUUACGGCGCUUCUUGGUACGUUACUGCUGAAUUUGGAACUUUUCCAAUUAAUGGAAACUCCAAACUGUGUCGUGUUUGUAGCCAAAUUCUCCCGGCAUUCUGUAAACUGAGCAAUAAUUUUCCGAAGCUUACGUUUGUGUACGCAGACAUUGAUGAAUGCCCGGAAACAACUCAACACAUUCGAUACACCCCCACCUUCCAAUUUUACCGGAAUGGUGAAAAGGUAGAUGAGAUGUAUGGGGCUGGAGAAGAGAGGCUCCAUGAUCGACUGUGGUUGCACUCUUAACUCCGUGUAAGAAAACACAUUUAUGUUUGCAAUUUCUCUAUCUGUGUAGGUAGCAUUGUCAAUCAUGAACGCUUAUGUGAAUGGUAGAAUAAAAUCUAGCUAGUUAUUCCGUGUCUUAGUAAGAAUUUGUUUUGUAUGAGGUAAACAGUUUCAUAAAUGGACUCCAUUAAAAAAAUUAAAUAGAUAACAUCGUAAGUUUACACCAAUGCACAAGGAUUGGUUGCAAAACAAUCAGAAGAAAAUAAUUGGUUACAGUAAAUAAAUUUAAAUUAAGCGGUAAAACCAAAAUUAAAGAGGUAGCUAAUGCUGCAUGCUCUCCUAUUGUGCUAACUGCUAACGCGUCUACUCCCUUUUCUAGUUUGAGCUGUGAAACGUAUCUUCAGUAAGAGAUGUGGUGUACGCAUUGAAGCUUCCUUAUUUCCCUUUUACCCAGAAUCCGAAAGAUGGCUACGGUGAUAGCCACAUGUAGCAAUGAAUACCAUGGGUGGCUAAUUCAAGCCUUAGGCUUGAGUAUCUUCACAGUCUCCCAAGUAAAAUCAGGAUCAUCACGUCCAAAAUGCCCAUAAGCAGCAGUUUUCUGGUACCUGAAGUUGCCUCCUCUCAUGAGAUCAAGAUUGAUGGCAAUCAUUCCUGGCCUGAAGUCAAAGUUCUCCUUAAUCAAAGCCAAGAUAUCCUUGUCUGGAAUCUUUCCUGUUUUGUGUGUGUCUACAAACACUGAAAGUGGUUCUGGGACUCCAAUUGCAUAAGAAACCUGCACAAGACAACGUCGUGCAAGCCCUGAAGCUACCACACUCUUGGCUGCUUGCCUAACAAUGUAUGCACCACUCCUGUCAACCUUGGUCGGGUCCUUCCCGGAGAAGGCACCCCCACCGUGAGCACCCCAGCCGCCAUAGGUGUCGAUAAUGAUCUUCCUUCCUGUGAGUCCUGCAUCUCCAUGGGGUCCACCAAUCACAAACCUACCAGAGGGGUUGAGGUGGAAGAUGGUCUUGUCAUCUAGAUUCAUCAUGCUGGGUUGAGAUGAGAACCGUGUGCACCCGGAUAGGGAUCAUGGCUCCAUUGUCGUUCUUGUACUCAACUGUCACUUGGGUUUUACCAUCUGGCCUCAGCCAGGGGCAUGUUUUGUUCUUUCUCACCUCAGUGAGUUUGGCACCAAGUUGGGUAGCAAGCACAUGAGUGAGUGGCAUUAGCUCAGGUGUUUCAUCUGUGGCAUAGCCAAACAUGUGGCCUUGGUCACCAGCACCAAUUUCCUCGGGUUUUUUGGUCAUGUGACCGUGAACUCCUUGAGCAAUAUCAGGGCUCUGUUGCUCAAUGUUGACCAGAACUUUGCAGUUGUCAGCAUCAAGACCAACUUCCGCUGACACAAACCCAAUUGCUCUACAAGUGUCUCGAAUUAUUUUCUCGUAGUUCACAUUCGCCUUGGUUGUAAUCUCACCAAACACCAUAACCAUGUUAGUUUUUGAACAAGUCUCGCAUGCAACCUUGCUGUCUGGGUCUUGCUCCAAGCAUGCAUCCAAGAUGGCAUCUGAAACCUGGUCACACAGCUUGUCGGGAUGACCUUCGUUUACAGAUUCUGAGGUGAAGAGGAAAGUUUCCAUAUCUGUCGUUAAGAAAACAAAAAAAGGGUUAAAUUGUGUUGUAGAAACUAGAGAAGCAAUUAACUUGACAAUACGGUACAUUUCUUUUGCAUGAACCCUA